RNAcentral lists this ribosomal RNA (564 nucleotides) under Cytospora donetzica. RNAcentral's name for it is "eukaryotic LSU rRNA". It matches the Rfam family "Eukaryotic large subunit ribosomal RNA", at positions 68 to 658 of the family's 3401-position model. The record is from RNAcentral. Lineage: Eukaryota; Fungi; Ascomycota; Sordariomycetes; Diaporthales; Cytosporaceae.
CCAAGGCAUGCCUAGUACGGCGAGUGAGCGGCAACAGCUCAAAUUUGAAAGCUGGCUCCGGCCCGCAUUGUAAUUUGCAGAGGAUGCUUUUGGCGAGGUGCCUUCCGAGUUCCCUGGAACGGGACGCCAUAGAGGGUGAGAGCCCCGUAUGGAUGGACACCAGACCUGUGUAAAGCUCCUUCAACGAGUCGAGUAGUUUGGGAAUGCUGCUCUAAAUGGGAGGUAAAUCUCUUCUAAAGCUAAAUACCGGCCAGAGACCGAUAGCGCACAAGUAGAGUGAUCGAAAGAUGAAAAGCACCUUGAAAAGGGGGUUAAACAGUACGUGAAAUUGUUGAAAGGGAAGCAUUUAUGACCAGACUUGCGCCGGGCAGCUCAUCAGGGGUUCUCCCCUGUGCACUCUGCCCGGCUCAGGCCAGCAUCGGUUCUCGUGGGAGGAUAAGAACAGUGGGAACGUGGCCCCCCUCCGGGGGGGUGUUAUAGCCCAUUGUACGAUACUCUCGUGGGGACCGAGGUUCGCGCUCCGCAAGGAUGCUGGCGUAAUGGUCAUCAAUGACCCGUCUGCCC